Long non-coding RNA from Macrobrachium nipponense, 619 nucleotides. RefSeq lists it as uncharacterized. The transcript is spliced from 3 exons. Lineage: Eukaryota; Metazoa; Arthropoda; Malacostraca; Decapoda; Palaemonidae. The record is from RefSeq and is a predicted model, not a curated record.
UCUCCCUCUCUCUCCUCCUCCUCAGGAACGGCGUGUUCAAUUUAUCGUAGCCUAAUUGAUCAUGUUAACGUUGUGAAGUUUCUAAAAGAAAAAAAAACUAACACGGGACUAGACAACAGCUGGCACUUGAGAUUUCCGUCGAAUGUUGCCACUUCGUUGGUCAAGUUAUGAUAAACCCGGGGCUUCUGAAAGGAUGUCUUUGGUAUGAGUUUGAAUUUUGAAUUCCUCUCCUAACAGUAAACUUUCACGUAUGAUAAAGCUACUCUCUUUAGCAACAGGACGUUGCCUCCGUCUGUGGAUGUGUUCACCACUCUAGUGAUGGCCACGGACUAUGCAUAGCCGUUUUUGGAGAGACUAAUGGAGGACUUUGAUACACUUAGUAGUCACGAGGAACCGUACACCGGGUUAGGACUUCGCUUCCCUUCUUGGAACAUCCUUCGUCGCUUAUAAUCCUUGAGUGGGAUUCCGCAUUCCGGGACAACCGUCGUCUAACAUUAUUCCUAUGAUGAAGGGUUUGGUAUCGUCACGUAUUUGUAUACAAAGCUGUUCAGAAUACGAACUCUGCGUAUUUUGAGUUGAUUUGUAACAUUUUUCGUUGCAAUAAAUUAUAAUUUUUUGC